This 467-nucleotide ribosomal RNA is filed under the name uncultured bacterium. Its description in RNAcentral is "partial 16S ribosomal RNA". It matches the Rfam family "Bacterial small subunit ribosomal RNA", at positions 28 to 507 of the family's 1533-position model. The record is from RNAcentral.
GACGAACGCUGGCGGCGUGCUUAACACAUGCAAGUCGAACGAUGACGACCGAGCUUGCUCGGUCUGAUUAGUGGCGAACGGGUGAGUAACACGUGAGCAACCUGCCCUUCACUCUGGGAUAACCUCGGGAAAUCGGGGCUAAUACCGGAUAUGAGCUCCUGUCGCAUGGCGGGUGUUGGAAAGUUUUUCGGUGAAGGAUGGGCUCGCGGCCUAUCAGUUUGUUGGUGAGGUAGUGGCUCACCAAGGCGAUGACGGGUAGCCGGCCUGAGAGGGCGACCGGCCACACUGGGACUGAGACACGGCCCAGACUCCUACGGGAGGCAGCAGUGGGGAAUAUUGCACAAUGGGCGAAAGACUGAUGCAGCGACGCCGCGUGAGGGAUGACGGACUUCGGGUUGUAAACCUCUUUCAGCAGGGAAGAAGCGAAAGUGACGGUACCUGCAGAAGAAGCGCCGGCUAACUACGUG